AGAGAGAGUGAGCUCGGGGUAGAGGCAAGCCAGCCAGAUUGCGUCCAGCGGCAGUCGCUCCGCGGGGUUCCCAGAAGGCAGCGGGGAAACCCCGCCGCAAAGGUGCGCCCUGCGCGGGGACUCCGCGGCGCAUGCAGAGCUGGAAGCCAGUGGUGGGAUCCCCACCCAUCCUUGGAGACCGCUUCUGCCUCGAGUCCUCGGUCUCCAAGAAUAGGAUACCUUCCUUCUAGCCACAUCAUCACUGAAGCUGAAGCACGUUCUUUUUCCUGUUCAGCAUUGAACACUUUGAAUAUAUUAUGACAACUAUGAUUUGUUUGUGCCAUCUUGUGUGUGUGUGUAUAUACAUAUAUAUGUAUAUAUAUAUAUAUAUGCUAAUAAAACCUUUCCAUUAACAAAACUCAUUGAAAACAAAUUCUAUGUCUACUUGUGAUUUAUCUUCCCUGAGACCUCAAAUAUCUAGAAAUAUUAUUUGCAUUUAUUCUUGUCAUAUUUCAAUAUUUUAUUGUCAAUGUUGAGUGUAGAAAGAGGUGGAAAAGGAGAGCGAUAAUUGUGAAGUUGAUCACUGGAUGAAUUAGUAGAUGCUAGAAGAAGACUGUGCAAAAGAAACUGAAAUAAAGAAGUAGUGACA
RNAcentral lists this long non-coding RNA (628 nucleotides) under Homo sapiens (human). Its description in RNAcentral is "non-protein coding lnc-BAAT-3:1". Lineage: Eukaryota; Metazoa; Chordata; Mammalia; Primates; Hominidae. The record is from RNAcentral.